AGUGAACGCUGGCGGUAGGCCUAACACAUGCAAGUCGAACGGCAGCACAGUAAGAGCUUGCUCUUACGGGUGGCGAGUGGCGGACGGGUGAGGAAUACAUCGGAAUCUACUUUUUCGUGGGGGAUAACGUAGGGAAACUUACGCUAAUACCGCAUACGACCUACGGGUGAAAGCAGGAGAUCUUCGGACCUUGCGCGAUUGAAUGAGCUGAUGUCGGAUUAGCUAGUUGGCGGGGUAAAGGCCCACCAAGGCGACGAUCCGUAGCUGGUCUGAGAGGAUGAUCAGCCACACUGGAACUGAGACACGGUCCAGACUCCUACGGGAGGCAGCAGUGGGGAAUAUUGGACAAUGGGCGAAAGCCUGAUCCAGCCAUGCCGCGUGGGUGAAGAAGGCCUUCGGGUUGUAAAGCCCUUUUGUUGGGAAAGAAAAGCAGCAUGUUAAUCCCCCGCUGUCCUGACGGUACCUAAAGAAUAAGCAACGGCUAACUUCGUG
Molecule: ribosomal RNA, 492 nt
Filed under: uncultured bacterium
Lineage: Bacteria
Description: partial 16S ribosomal RNA
Rfam family: Bacterial small subunit ribosomal RNA
Source: RNAcentral